UACGUAGGCGGUUUUGAAAGUUAGGUGUUAAAUCCAUGAGCUCAACUCAUGUUCGCAUCUAAAACUUCAGAACUUGAGGACAGGAGAGGAAAGCGGAACUCACAGUGUAGCGGUGAAAUGCGUAGAUAUUGUGAGGAACACCGGUGGCGAAGGCGGCUUUCUGGACUGUAUCUGACGCUGAGGUACGAAAGCGUGGGGAGCAAACAGGAUUAGAUACCCUGGUAGUCC
Molecule: ribosomal RNA, 228 nt
Filed under: uncultured bacterium
Lineage: Bacteria
Description: partial 16S ribosomal RNA
Rfam family: Bacterial small subunit ribosomal RNA
Source: RNAcentral